AUGUGCUUCUAUAAAAGAGAUGAACAAGAAUUUAAUGCAAUCUUUGCCCGGAAACCUAGAAAGAAAAAAUGGCGCUGCACGGCUCGCUCCAUUAUCCCUACUCAGUUUGUCAUGCACUUUACCAAUGCUAGCGAAGUGGAGAGAGCUUGCUGCUAUGGGAAGCGUAUGCCUCUGAAGGAGGGGGCUGUUGUGGUAUGCAUAACUCCUUGGUCUGCUUUGAUAGGGGCCAAAGGGGUUAUGGAAAAGGCUUGGGUGAAGAUUCGCAACAUUCCCAUUGAAAAAAUAUGUGCUGAACAUAUUGCCUAUGUUGGAGGGCUGGUGGGGAUAACAUUGGAAGUAGAUGAGGCCACAAUCCAUAAACCUGAAUAUGCUAGAAUCUUGCUUAGGUGCAUGGAGGUGAAGAAAAUACCUCCCUCAGCUGAAGGGAUGUUGGGUGAGCAAUAUUAUGACUUCUUUUAUGAAGUUGAAAAAAUUGUGAUAGUGGGGGCUGAUAAGAGCCAAUCCUCUAUUGCUGUAGACAGUAGUGCAUCCCCUUCUUUUUCCAAGAAAGCAAGGACAAACCUAUAUCCCGCUUGUUCUGUUGGGCAAGGAGAAACCAGUGCGUCUAUGGUUGGUAAUUAUUCAUCCCAAAAUUAUGAAAAAGGGACACAACGACUUGCUGUUGUUGCUGAGAGUGAAGAAGAGGAGGACAGUGAUGAGGGAAAUCACACUGAAUUGCUGAUUGAGACCAUGACUAGAGAGCAUGAUGAUGUGAAAAAAAUUAAACUAUGGUUCUCAGACUGGCAAUACAUCCUAUGGGGAAAAUUUCGAGGUGCUGGAGGUGGAGAGAAUGGGUGGGUCUCCCACUUCUGA
Molecule: ribosomal RNA, 852 nt
Filed under: Triticum aestivum (bread wheat)
Lineage: Eukaryota; Viridiplantae; Streptophyta; Magnoliopsida; Poales; Poaceae
Description: partial small subunit ribosomal RNA
Source: RNAcentral